GUGCCAGCAGCCGCGGUAAUACAUAGGGGUCAAGCGUUGUCCGGAUUUAUUGGGCGUAAAGAGCUCGUAGGCGGUUCAACAAGUCGGUCGUAAAAGUUUAGGGCUCAACCCUAAAAUGUCGAUCGAUACUGUUGUGACUAGGAUACGGUAGAAGUGAAUGGAAUCCCGAGUGUAGCGGUGAAAUGCGUAGAUAUUCGGAGGAACACCAAUUGCGAAGGCAGUUCACUGGACCGUGAUCUACGAAAGCGUGGGUAGCGAACAGGAUUAGAUACCCGUGUAGU
Molecule: ribosomal RNA, 281 nt
Filed under: uncultured bacterium
Lineage: Bacteria
Description: partial 16S ribosomal RNA
Rfam family: Bacterial small subunit ribosomal RNA
Source: RNAcentral